Molecule: long non-coding RNA, 522 nt
Filed under: Malus domestica (apple)
Lineage: Eukaryota; Viridiplantae; Streptophyta; Magnoliopsida; Rosales; Rosaceae
Description: long non-coding RNA (MDOM_LNC017435)
Source: RNAcentral
UUUUUUAUCAUUAAUUUUAAAUUUUAUCUCUUUUUUUUUUUUUUUUAUAUGUAAAUUAAUGUAAAGAGACUUGGUUAACCUUCCCCACACUUAAACUAAAUAACACAAACUCACAGAAAUCAACCAAAUAACACAACUAACUAAACAAAACAAAAUGAAAGCAAUAAAGAUAAGGGUGGAAGAAUGCAAAGCUGAUUGGGUUAGUGAUUCCAAAGUCUCCCUUCGUUGAAUGCUUGGGUUGCCUCCCAAGAAGCGCUUGAUUUAACGUCUUUAGCCGGACGCAUCUUUCCUUUAAAUUUCCCUCGGCUCCAUUUGAACCUAAAAUCAAAGAAAGAAAAAUAAAUCAAAAAUCAAAAGUAAAAUACACAAACACCAAUAUAAACAUAAACAAAAACAAAAAUAAAAGGAUUAGCAAAGUUGCUAAUCCCCGGCAACGGCGCCAAAAUUUGAUGCGAGAAUUUCUUGACACACAAAUUAAACCCUCUUUUUGACAAUUGUAGUAUAGAUGUAAGUAGGGUAUCG